This 402-nucleotide ribosomal RNA is filed under the name uncultured bacterium. Its description in RNAcentral is "bacterial SSU rRNA". It matches the Rfam family "Bacterial small subunit ribosomal RNA", at positions 362 to 776 of the family's 1533-position model. The record is from RNAcentral.
UAUUGCACAAUGGGCGCAAGCCUGAUGCAGCAACGCCGCGUGAGGGAUGACGGCCUUCGGGUUGUAAACCUCUUUUAGCAGGGAAGAAGCGAAAGUGACGGUACCUGCAGAAAAAGCACCGGCUAACUACGUGCCAGCAGCCGCGGUAAUACGUAGGGUGCGAGCGUUGUCCGGAAUUAUUGGGCGUAAAGAGCUCGUAGGCGGUUUGUCACGUCUGCUGUGAAGACCCGAGGCUCAACCUCGGGCCUGCAGUGGGUACGGGCAGACUAGAGUGCGGUAGGGGAGAAUGGAAUUCCUUGUGUAGCGGUGGAAUGCGCAGAUAUCAGGAGGAACACCGAUGGCGAAGGCAGUUCUCUGGGCCGUAACUGACGCUGAGGAGCGAAAGCGUGGGGAGCGAACAGG